Molecule: ribosomal RNA, 586 nt
Filed under: uncultured bacterium
Lineage: Bacteria
Description: bacterial SSU rRNA
Rfam family: Bacterial small subunit ribosomal RNA
Source: RNAcentral
GACGAAACUAGAUACAAGCGAGCGGCGGACGGGUGAGUAACACGUGGGUAACCCGCCCAAGAGACUGGGAUAACACCUGGAAACAGAUGCUAAUACCGGAUAACAACACUAGACGCAUGUCUAGAGUUUAAAAGAUGGUUCUGCUAUCACUCUUGGAUGGACCUGCGGUGCAUUAGCUAGUUGGUAAGGUAACGGCUUACCAAGGCAAUGAUGCAUAGCCGAGUUGAGAGACUGAUCGGCCACAUUGGGACUGAGACACGGCCCAAACUCCUACGGGAGGCAGCAGUAGGGAAUCUUCCACAAUGGACGCAAGUCUGAUGGAGCAACGCCGCGUGAGUGAAGAAGGGUUUCGGCUCGUAAAGCUCUGUUGGUAGUGAAGAAAGAUAGAGGUAGUAACUGGCCUUUAUUUGACGGUAAUUACUUAGAAAGUCACGGCUAACUACGUGCCAGCAGCCGCGGUAAUACGUAGGUGGCAAGCGUUGUCCGGAUUUAUUGGGCGUAAAGCGAGUGCAGGCGGUUCAAUAAGUCUGAUGUGAAAGCCUUCGGCUCAACCGGAGAAUUGCAUCAGAAACUGUUAACUUGAGUG